Molecule: ribosomal RNA, 253 nt
Filed under: uncultured bacterium
Lineage: Bacteria
Description: partial 16S ribosomal RNA
Rfam family: Bacterial small subunit ribosomal RNA
Source: RNAcentral
UACGUAGGGCGCAAGCGUUAUCCGGAUUUAUUGGGCGUAAAGAGCUCGUAGGCGGUUUGUCGCGUCUAUCGUGAAAGUCCGAGGCUCAACCUCGGAUCUGCGGUGGGUACGGGCAGACUAGAGUGAUGUAGGGGAGACUGGAAUUCCUGGUGUAGCGGUGAAAUGCGCAGAUAUCAGGAGGAACACCGAUGGCGAAGGCAGGUCUCUGGGCGUUUACUGACGCUGAGGAGCGAAAGCAUGGGGAGCGAACAGG